This 995-nucleotide ribosomal RNA is filed under the name Halomonas sp. RNAcentral describes it as "bacterial SSU rRNA". It matches the Rfam family "Bacterial small subunit ribosomal RNA", at positions 472 to 1472 of the family's 1533-position model. Lineage: Bacteria; Pseudomonadati; Pseudomonadota; Gammaproteobacteria; Oceanospirillales; Halomonadaceae. The record is from RNAcentral.
ACGCCCCCCCGGAACUAAAUCUCCGUUGCCCAGGCAGCCGCGGUUAUACGAAGUGGGACAAGCCGUUAAUCGGAAUUACUGGGCGUAAAAGCGUGCGUAGGCGUCUUUGGUAAGCCGGUUGUGAAAAGCCCCGGGCUCAACCGUGGGAAUGGCAUCCGGAACUGUCAGGCUAGAGUGCAGGAGAGGAAGGUAGAAUUCCCGGUGUAGCGGUGAAAUGCGUAGAGAUCGGGAGGAAUACCAGUGGCGAAGGCGGCCUUCUGGACUGACACUGACGCUGAGGUACGAAAGCGUGGGUAGCAAACAGGAUUAGAUACCGUGGUAGUCCACGCCGUAAACGAUGUCGACUAGCCGUUGGGGUCCUUGAGACCUUUGUGGCGCAGUUAACGCACUAAGUCGACCGCCUGGGGAGUACGGCCGCAAGGUUAAAACUCAAAUGAAUUGACGGGGGCCCGCACAAGCGGUGGAGCAUGUGGUUUAAUUCGAUGCAACGCGAAGAACCUUACCUACCCUUGACAUCGUGCGAACUUGGUAGAGAUACCUUGGUGCUUUCGGGAGCGCACAGACAGGUGCUGCAUGGCUGUCGUCAGCUCGUGUUGUGAAAUGUUGGGUUAAGUCCCGUAACGAGCGCAACCCUUAUCCUUAUUUGCCAGCGAUUCGGUCGGGAACUCUAAGGAGACUGCCGGUGACAAACCGGAGGAAGGUGGGGACGACGUCAAGUCAUCAUGGCCCUUACGGGUAGGGCUACACACGUGCUACAAUGGCCGAUACAAUGGGUCGCAAAGCGGCGACGUGGCGCUAAUCCCAUAAAGUCGGUCUCAGUCCGGAUCGGAGUCUGCAACUCGACUCCGUGAAGUCGGAAUCGCUAGUAAUCGUGCAUCAGAAUGGCACGGUGAAUACGUUCCCGGGCCUUGUACACACCGCCCGUCACACCAUGGGAGUGGACUGCACCAGAAGGAUUAGCCUAUCUGGGAGGGCUUAACCACCGGGUGGGUAGC